Long non-coding RNA from Coccinella septempunctata (seven-spotted ladybird), 272 nucleotides. RefSeq lists it as uncharacterized. Lineage: Eukaryota; Metazoa; Arthropoda; Insecta; Coleoptera; Coccinellidae. The transcript is spliced from 2 exons. The record is from RefSeq and is a predicted model, not a curated record.
AUGAACAAAGUUCGCGCUCCGAAGUUGGAACAUGUCGAAGCACUACAUUCUGCAUUACUUCGUUGUAUGAAGUUUUAACAAUUUCCAAGAACACUUCGAUGGAAAAUCGGUGUAAACAAUUAAUAUUUUACUAAUCAAGUAUAUUCCGGAUGUUUUUUUGAAAAAACUUCUUUCUCAUAUAUACUCGUGAGGAUAUCUCAAUGGACAAUAAAUCAGUACACCCGGUGUGUUUUGAUGUUUCUUCAGAUUUCUUACAUGAAGACGCAACGGUG